UUCACUCUCUUUGCGAUUUCGCUUUGAUAACUGGCAGUGCCGUUCUUUCAUCAAGUGGUUCUGAUGAAGCCUCCUACGGGAGUGCGCUCCAAGUCACUUUUAUUUUUGGAACCAGCCUGGGGAGCGCUGAGCUUCGCUCAUCUUCCUGGGCACAGUGUCGCCCUUAUUGCACUGCCUGGGGCUGACGCGAACCAUC
This 196-nucleotide small nuclear RNA is filed under the name Macrophomina phaseolina MS6. RNAcentral describes it as "U2 spliceosomal RNA". It matches the Rfam family "U2 spliceosomal RNA". Rfam says of the family: U2 is a small nuclear RNA (snRNA) component of the spliceosome (involved in pre-mRNA splicing). Complementary binding between U2 snRNA (in an area lying towards the 5' end but 3' to hairpin I) and the branchpoint sequence (BPS) of the intron results the bulging out of an unpaired adenosine, on the BPS, which initiates a nucleophilic attack at the intronic 5' splice site, thus starting the first of two transesterification reactions that mediate splicing. The record is from Rfam by way of RNAcentral. Lineage: Eukaryota; Fungi; Ascomycota; Dothideomycetes; Botryosphaeriales; Botryosphaeriaceae.